RNAcentral lists this transfer RNA (67 nucleotides) under Bathymodiolus securiformis. RNAcentral describes it as "tRNA-Cys". Lineage: Eukaryota; Metazoa; Mollusca; Bivalvia; Mytilida; Modiolidae. The record is from RNAcentral.
AGCCCGAUAGUUAAAGAUAAUAACUGUAAAUUGCAAAUUUACCAUUACGCCAAGUGUGUUUGGGCAU